RNAcentral lists this ribosomal RNA (430 nucleotides) under uncultured Glomeromycotina. RNAcentral's name for it is "SSU rRNA". It matches the Rfam family "Eukaryotic small subunit ribosomal RNA", at positions 569 to 1006 of the family's 1831-position model. Lineage: Eukaryota; Fungi; Glomeromycota. The record is from RNAcentral.
AGCAGCCGCGGUAAUUCCAGCUCCAAUAGCGUAUAUUAAAGUUGUUGCAGUUAAAAAGCUCGUAGUUGAAUCUCGGGAUCAAUAUGUCGGUCGUGCCUUCGGUACGUACUGGUAUCAUUGGUCUCUCCUUUCUGACGAACCAUGAUGUCAUUAAUUUGGUGUUAUGGGGAGUUAGGACUGUUACUUUGAAAAAAUUUGAGUGUUUAAAGCAGGCUUUAGCUUGAAUACAUUAGCAUGGAAUAAUGAAAUAGGGCGUUCGAACCUAUUUUGUUGGUUUCUAGGAUCAACGUAAUGAUUAAUAGGGAUAGUUGGGGGCAUUAGUAUUCAAUUGUCAGAGGUGAAAUUCUUGGAUUUAUUGAAGACUAACUACUGCGAAAGCAUUUGCCAAGGAUGUUUUCGUAAUCAAGAACGAAGUUAGGGAUCGAAGACG